GCAGUAGUAAUAGUCAUGUGGGUUUGCCAAAGGGGCGCUUACCGAGAGCUCUUUGGCAUUCUGUCCACCUCCUUGCGAGUCUCGCGGGAGAUCUCAUGAUCUGUUGUUGAGCUUGCAGAUAGCUUGGAGGUGGGCAUACUGCCAAUGGAGCUGUGUAGGCUUCCCUUUGUAAAACCCAUAUGGCGAAGAUCAAACCAGCU
Molecule: non-coding RNA, 200 nt
Organism: Brachypodium distachyon (stiff brome)
Lineage: Eukaryota; Viridiplantae; Streptophyta; Magnoliopsida; Poales; Poaceae
Gene: MIR394
Product: microRNA MIR394
Exons: 1
Source: RefSeq, marked provisional